AGCAGCCGCGGUAAUUCCAGCUCCAAUAGCGUAUAUUAAAGUUGUUGCAGUUAAAAGCUCGUAGUUGAAUUUCGGGAUCAAUAUAUCGGUCGUGCCUUGGUACGUACUGGUAUCAUUGGUUUCUCCUUUCUGACGAACCAUGAUGUCAUUAAUUUGGUGUUAUGGGAAGUUAGGACUGUUACUUUGAAAAAUUAGAGUGUUUAAAGCAGGCUUUGGCUUGAAUACAUUGGCAUGGAAUAAUGAAAUAGGACGUUCGAACCUAUUUUGUUGGUUUCUAGGAUCAACGUAAUGAUUAAUAGGGAUAGUUGGGGGCAUUAGUAUUCAAUUGUCAGAGGUGAAAUUCUUGGAUUUAUUGAAGACUAACUACUGCGAAAGCAUUUGCCAAGGAUGUUUUCAUUAAUCAAGAACGAAAGUUAGGGAUCGAAGACGAUCAGAUACCGUCGUAGUCUUAACCAUAAACUAUGCCGACUAGGGAUCGGAUGAUGUUAAUUUUUAAUGUACUCAUUCGGCGUCCGUUACG
RNAcentral lists this unclassified non-coding RNA (520 nucleotides) under uncultured Glomus. Its description in RNAcentral is "SSU rRNA". It matches the Rfam family "Eukaryotic small subunit ribosomal RNA", at positions 569 to 1094 of the family's 1831-position model. The record is from RNAcentral. Lineage: Eukaryota; Fungi; Glomeromycota; Glomeromycetes; Glomerales; Glomeraceae.